RNAcentral lists this ribosomal RNA (461 nucleotides) under uncultured bacterium. RNAcentral's name for it is "partial 16S ribosomal RNA". It matches the Rfam family "Bacterial small subunit ribosomal RNA", at positions 29 to 523 of the family's 1533-position model. The record is from RNAcentral.
AACGAACGCUGGCGGCAGGCCUAACACAUGCAAGUCGAACGAGCUGAGACCUUCGGGUCUCGAUGCUAGUGGCGCACGGGUGAGUAACGCGUGGGAACGUACCCUUUAGUACGGAAUAACCCAGGGAAACUUGGGCUAAUACCGUAUACGCCCUUCGGGGGAAAGAUUUAUAGCUAAAGGAUCGGUCCGCGUCUGAUUAGGUAGUUGGUGAGGGAACGGCUCACCAAGCCGACGAUCAGUAGCUGGUCUGAGAGGAUGAUCAGCCACACUGGGACUGAGACACGGCCCAGACUCCUACGGGAGGCAGCAGUGGGGAAUAUUGGACAAUGGGCGAAAGCCUGAUCCAGCCAUGCCGCGUGAGUGAAGAAGGCCUUCGGGUUGUAAAGCUCUUUCGACGGGGACGAUGAUGACGGUACCCGUAUAAGAAGCCCCGGCAAACUUCGUGCCAGCCGCCGCCGUAA